AUCCUGCUGAACAGUCCCAAACAGGACGAAACGCGCGUCCUGGAU
Molecule: non-coding RNA, 45 nt
Filed under: Schistosoma curassoni
Lineage: Eukaryota; Metazoa; Platyhelminthes; Trematoda; Strigeidida; Schistosomatidae
Source: RNAcentral